CCUACGGGAGGCUGCAGUGAGGAAUAUUGGUCAAUGGACGCAAGUCUGAACCAGCCAUGCCGCGUGCAGGAAGAAGGCUCUAUGAGUUGUAAACUGCUUUUGUACGAGGGUAAAUGCAGAUACGUGGAUCUGACUGAAAGUAUCGGACGAAUAAGGAUCGGCUAACUCCGUGCCAGCAGCCGCGGGAAUAAGGAGGAUUCAAGCGUUAUCCGGAUUUAUUGGGUUUAAAGGGUGCGUAGGCGGUCGGGUAAGUUAGAGGUGAAAUCCCGAGGCUCAACUUCGGAAUUGCCUCUGAUACUGUUCGGCUAGAGAGUAGUUGCGGUAGGCGGAAUGUAUGGUGUAGCGGUGAAAUGCUUAGAGAUCAUACAGAACACCGAUUGCGAAGGCAGCUUACCAGGCUACUUCUGACGUUGAGGCACGAAAGCGUGGGGAGCAAACAGGAUUAGAUACCCUAGUAGUC
Molecule: ribosomal RNA, 460 nt
Filed under: uncultured bacterium
Lineage: Bacteria
Description: partial 16S ribosomal RNA
Rfam family: Bacterial small subunit ribosomal RNA
Source: RNAcentral